RNAcentral lists this ribosomal RNA (465 nucleotides) under uncultured Klebsiella sp. RNAcentral's name for it is "bacterial SSU rRNA". It matches the Rfam family "Bacterial small subunit ribosomal RNA", at positions 338 to 795 of the family's 1533-position model. Lineage: Bacteria; Pseudomonadati; Pseudomonadota; Gammaproteobacteria; Enterobacterales; Enterobacteriaceae. The record is from RNAcentral.
CCUACGGGGGGCUGCAGUGGGGAAUAUUGCACAAUGGGCGCAAGCCUGAUGCAGCCAUGCCGCGUGUGUGAAGAAGGCCUUCGGGUUGUAAAGCACUUUCAGCGGGGAGGAAGGCGGUGAGGUUAAUAACCUCAUCGAUUGACGUUACCCGCAGAAGAAGCACCGGCUAACUCCGUGCCAGCAGCCGCGUUAAUACGGAGGGUGCAAGCGUUAAUCGGAAUUACUGGGCGUAAAGCGCACGCAGGCGGUCUGUCAAGUCGGAUGUGAAAUCCCCGGGCUCAACCUGGGAACUGCAUUCGAAACUGGCAGGCUAGAGUCUUGUAGAGGGGGGUAGAAUUCCAGGUGUAGCGGUGAAAUGCGUAGAGAUCUGGAGGAAUACCGGUGGCGAAGGCGGCCCCCUGGACAAAGACUGACGCUCAGGUGCGAAAGCGUGGGGAGCAAACAGGAUUAGAUACCCUGGUAGUC